UACGUAGGUGGCAGGCGUUGUCCGGAUUUACUGGGCGUAAAGAGCGCGCAGGCGGUCGUUCAAGUCGAGUGUGAAAGCCCCCGGCUCAACUGGGGAGGGUCACUCGAUACUGAUCGACUCGAAGGCAGAAGAGGGAAGCGGAAUUCCCGGUGUAGUGGUGAAAUUCGUAGAUAUUCGCAAGAACACCAGUGGCGAAGGCGGCUCACUGGCCCGGUACUGACGCUGAGGUGCGAAAGCGUGGGGAGCAAACAGG
RNAcentral lists this ribosomal RNA (253 nucleotides) under uncultured bacterium. Its description in RNAcentral is "partial 16S ribosomal RNA". It matches the Rfam family "Bacterial small subunit ribosomal RNA", at positions 524 to 776 of the family's 1533-position model. The record is from RNAcentral.